CUAGCUUACGUGGAGGCGCUGGUGGGAUACUACCCUAGCUGUGUUGGCUUUCUAACCCGCACCACUUAUCGUGGUGGGAGACAGUGUCAGGCGGGCAGUUUGACUGGGGCGGUCGCCUCCUAAAAGGUAACGGAGGCGCUCAAAGGUUCCCUCAGAAUGGUUGGAAAUCAUUCAUAGAGUGUAAAGGCAUAAGGGAGCUUGACUGCGAGACCUACAAGUCGAGCAGGGUCGAAAGACGGACUUAGUGAUCCGGUGGUUCCGCAUGGAAGGGCCAUCGCUCAACGGAUAAAAGCUACCCCGGGGAUAACAGGCUUAUCUCCCCCAAGAGUUCACAUCGACGGGGAGGUUUGGCACCUCGAUGUCGGCUCAUCGCAUCCUGGGGCUGUAGUCGGUCCCAAGGGUUGGG
RNAcentral lists this ribosomal RNA (406 nucleotides) under Staphylococcus aureus. Its description in RNAcentral is "partial 23S ribosomal RNA". It matches the Rfam family "Bacterial large subunit ribosomal RNA", at positions 2171 to 2576 of the family's 2925-position model. Lineage: Bacteria; Bacillati; Bacillota; Bacilli; Caryophanales; Staphylococcaceae. The record is from RNAcentral.